UUCGACUACAUAUCAGGCAUAUCAAUAAGCGGAGGAAAAGAAACUAACUAGGAUUCCCUCAGUAACGGCGAGUGAAGCGGGAAGAGCUCAAAUUUGAAAUCUUCAAGGUUUUACCUUGACGAAUUGUAGUUUAAAGAAGUGUUUUCUGUUGGAGUUUCGGUAAAGGUUCUUUGGAAUAGGACAUCAUAGAGGGUGAGAAUCCCGUAUUUGACCGUUAUUUUCAGCUGUGUGAUACACUUUCAAAGAGUCGGAUUGUUUGGGAAUGCAGUCCAAAAUGGGUGGUAAAUUUCAUCUAAAGCUAAAUAUUGGCGAGAGACCGAUAGCGAACAAGUACCGUGAGGGAAAGAUGAAAAGAACUUUGAAAAGAGAGUUAAACAGUACGUGAAAUUGUCAAAAGGGAAGCGUUUGACACCAGUGUUGUUUUCUCGAAAAUCAAUUAAAAAUAAAUUUGAUUUUGUGUUGUAUUGACCUUAAAAGCUUUCUUCACUUUUUUCAUGUUUAUUUUUAAUGCACUUUUCGUUUAACAAGUCAACAUCAGUUUCUUUUGUUGUAAAAGGUCAUUGGAAGGUGGCUUUCAUCUUUCGGUAGAAAGUGUUUAUAGCCUUUGACUUCCUGCAAUCGGAGAGAUUGAGGUCUGCAGCGUAGAUCCUUCUGGAUUAGAUACAUUUGUGCUAAGUUAUAGUUUUUCAUAGACAGCAUGUUGACUAUGAUUAGUCAUGUAGCUUACUCGCUUAUGCUAAUUUUACCUACGCUUAGGAUGUUGACGCGCGUGUGUGCGUG
RNAcentral lists this ribosomal RNA (780 nucleotides) under uncultured Neocallimastigales. RNAcentral's name for it is "partial large subunit ribosomal RNA". It matches the Rfam family "Eukaryotic large subunit ribosomal RNA", at positions 24 to 639 of the family's 3401-position model. The record is from RNAcentral. Lineage: Eukaryota; Fungi; Neocallimastigomycota; Neocallimastigomycetes; Neocallimastigales.